This is a non-coding RNA of Podarcis muralis (Common wall lizard), 6482 nucleotides long. The record is from RefSeq and is a predicted model, not a curated record. NCBI's taxonomy places the organism in Eukaryota, Metazoa, Chordata, Lepidosauria, Squamata, Lacertidae.
CCGGCCGAGCCUUCAUUCAUUGGCCGCCGCGGCUGCCACUCGCAGCUCCCUUCCGAAGCUCCUUUGCGAAGAGGCCGCCCCGCCGGAGCUUUGAACUGCUGCGCGCGGAGGCAGCAGCAGCAGCAGCGGCGGUGCAAAGUAAGAUGCCUCAAUAAACAAAAUGAGCGUGUUUGGUGAUUUUGAUUCACAGAUUUAAGUUGAUGUCAAGAAUCGCUUCAGCAGAGAAGAGCUUUCUCAUACAUCUUUUUAACUAUCAAGGUGAGGGGAUGGCCAAAGAUACUAGAGUCACUAAAUUCGGCUUCGACUUUUGGCUGCACAAGACUAUUGAAUGGGGUCAGACAAGCACUUCAGAAUCUCAGCAAGAUGUCUGCCUUCACUUGCCUGAAUUACAGGAAUUUCUACUACAGAUUUAUGGAGCUUUGAAACAUAUGAACUGUACUAGUGCAAUCCAAGAGUUCCCACUAAUUGGUCAAUUAUUGGGAAGACUUUGUUGGAACCCCUUUGUCAUUGGCUAUGACGAAUGCCAGAAGAUUCUAAUGUGGUGCUUAUGUUGUCUGUACAGUGGUGAACCACAGAACCCUGUGGAAUUGAAGGCCAACAGCUGGAUACAAGGUUCAUUGUGCCACUUGCUCUCAUUUUCUGGGCUGAGAAAUCAUGACCCUGAUAUCAACAACUUUAUUUCAACUCUUGGGUUCACGUCUGCAGAUUACUAUUCUAAAUUAAUUGAAAAUGUGGUCUUAUCAUUAGUGACAGAACUCAGCAGAAAUCAGUUUAAUGGACUUAACAGACAACAAAGUAUGUCUUCACGAGUAAAAUCCAUAUCCCUUCUCUGUAUACCUCUUAUUACUUUGCCUGAUGUAAUGCCACUGCUGGAAGCGCUUCUUAGCUAUCAUGAAGACAGAUCACAAGAGGUCCUCCAUGCUGAAUUUUUAGAAGCGGUGAAUAAGGCUGUGUUACAAAAAAAGAUUUUCUUGCCUGAAUCUGCUGUGCUGCAGUUGUGGCUUCGCCAUCUGCCUGGUCUGGAGAAAGCAGUGCUGCAGAAUCUUGAAAUUCUAAUCUCAACUCAGCCAAGUUCACUGGAAGAGAUGGCAUGCCUGAUAAAAUCUUCCUUAUUGGACCAAGCUGCAUGUCAUCCGGCUGUCUUCAGAACUAUAGACGAAAUUUUCAAGAAUGCACUGCUGGAAACUGAUGGAGCACCAGAAGUAAUGACCGUAAUGCAGGUAUUUACACAGUGCUUUGUUCAAGCAUACCACAAGAAUAAUAAGCAGCUUAAGUUUCCACUGAAGGCCUACUUUCCUAAUAAUCCUCAUUCACUUGUGAUGGCUUUCCUUAAACAUCCCUCAGACUUGCCAGCUACUGGUUUGCAUCAACACUUGACCCACAUUGCAGAAAUGCUCAAAGCAACAGUAGAAGCAAAGUGCACUGGGUAUUGUGGAGACCUCUUUGAGAACUGGUUUUUGUUUGUUCAUUUCGGAGAAUGGGCUGAUAUCGCAGCAGAACAGUUGUUGUCACAAGUGGAAUCCUCAGAUGCGUUGUUGUGGCUUUUGGCAUUUUACUAUUAUCCAGGUGAAGAGAAUCGGCGGAGAACUCAAACAAUGGUGGAAGCAAGAUCUGUAUGUGACCAUCUGACUGCCCUGUUCAGAACUCCAACUAUUUCUGUCACAGAUCUGCAGACUGCAGUUAGCAGCGGAACAAAACAAAACAAAUCAAGUAGCAACCUGGUAGUUACACACCUGAUUAUCAGCUUUCUGCUGUUUACUCCUACUGGACAUACAGUAGCCAAAGAAUUUAUUACCCAUUUUGUAGUUGCAGACAGUGAAAUCCCAGAAGUUACUGGUCUUCUAACUCGUCUUGCAAAUAGAGUCGGCCAACUUGGAAUGAAAUAUCAAAGGACUGUAAAGCUGGUGAAUGAUCUCCUCCUAAAACUAAAAUGUGGAUUUUAGUUUUCUUUGUGAUACUCAGCUUCGCCCAAUAUUCAGUCUAACUAAUCAGAACAGCCAGAUGGAGGAUGGAGAGAAGAGCUUGCAUCUAUUUCUGCUCUCAUUUUGUCUUCUUGGAAACUAGACUGCCAUUAGCUAAAUGAAAGUCCUCUGCAGUGUUUUCUUCAAGCAAGCCUCCUGGUUCUGAAGAAGGAAAUAGGUACACUACUGUAAUGCUUUAUGGGCUUUUAUAUUUAGGUUUUGAUAGCCUCAACAUGAAGUUGAAUUAUUCCAAUUUGUGGUAAAAAUCUUAAGAUUCUUCAAUGCAUUUUUGUUAGAAAAGAAACAAGUGCAUGAAGAAGCAGCCUAGGAUUCGUAAUUUACUGCAUCAACAGUCUCUAAAGACCUUACCAGUAGGGUUGGGCAAUGUUUUCAUACAUCGUACAACACUGGUUUGUAGGCCAUACUGUGAGAACAGUUUCAAAAUAACUGAGCUGGCGAAGCACAGCCUUCAGUCGCAAUGUUUAGCUGUUGAUAUAUCACGAUGUUGAAAACCAGAUAUCGCCCAGCCCUACUUACCAAUUCUAUCUGUGUUAUUUGGCAUAACUUCUGGAUUGGUUUUCUCAAUUUCAACGUGUCAUAGAACUAACUCUUAACUUGCGAGACACCACAAAAUUAACCUGUGUCAGCUCAUCACAACAGUGUCUUGUGUGACCCUUUAAAAAGUAAAUAUUUAUUGUAGCAUACGCUCUUGUAGAGUUCAGUUUAUUUGAUGAAUUGUAUUGCCUUAAGCAAUUAUAUAAGAAUUCUUCCUCAAUGUCUGAUGUAUUGCCUUUUCUACACUACCAUGAUCCAGAGAUUUACAUGGUAAAAAGGGUGCUGCUCUAACCCAGAGAGACAAAGAAGUUGCCUUAGACUACCGAUCCACCCAAUCUGGCAAACCAGCAUAUAGUUAACAAUAGUAUAGCGUAAUCUAUUGUUAUGUCAAAAUAAUAGCCAGCACAAUGUGUUCUUGCCCACCAGAGAUGUUAUGAUAUUUGGGAGGAAAAGUUUAUUUUAUUUAACAAAUGGAAGUUGGCAUAUCUAUGUAAUCGAGGGGGAAUUAUUAACUCAAUGUAGGAACUGUAACCCUUGGGCAACAUCCCUGUUGUUUGACAGUGCAACAAGCUAAACAUGAACAUCCAGAGAGGAUGACGACAACAAUGGUGCUGCACUUAAGGCAAUGCUUUUUCACUAGGUUAACAGGCUGUGCUGAGAGAGAUGCUCGGCAAUAUAAUUUAUAUGUUGACAUUUAACAAAUCAAAAUAAAAUCACAAGGACAGAAAAAAAGGCAACAGCUCCUUCAUGUACAGUGGCAAAUGCAUUUGAGUCGCCUUACUCAGCUUUUGCAUCUUUCUCAAUUGAACAACAAAAGAAUUACUUGCUUUCUCUUUGUUAUUUUCUGCAAAAAAAACCCUGUGAAAUAGAGCAUAACUUGCUUCAUGAAUGCAGCAGAUCCUUUCUUGAAUACAUCAAAAGGUCUACAUUAACUGUGACUGCAGUAACUCAGUAUGGUGCCAUACAAACUCCAGAUUUCUCCUGAAUUUGGAAGACUGAAUCCAGGACUGCUGUCGGAGCAUAUUUCAGCUAAUUAGAGUUUGGGAACGGAACUCUUUUGAGUUGGACACCACAGACAGAGAAGCUCUCUUGUGUGCAUAUGGGCACUUGGUGAAUGCCCCUAAGGAAGGUAAGCAGGAAGAGAGUUUCUGGUUUUGUGCAUUCAUAAAGGUUUAUUAUUCUCUCCUUCUCUUUUUGUAGUCAUCAGUAAACCAACUGAUAAUUUUGAGACGAAAUACAAAGGAGAAAAUACUACUUUGGCACAUGCGUGAUUUACAAAAUUGUUUAUUUAUAAAGCUUAUUGCCAUUAUUUUACAAGAAAGGACUUCCACAACUACUGUGAUUAAUAAGUAACAUGAUUAGCUUCAUUCAUAGCAAAGUGAUGUGACCAGCUUGUCACUAUUUCAUGGUUAAGAGUUUUAAUGGUGUGCUCACAAUAUUGUGGCAAUAAGUUACCCAUUAAAAAAAGACCUUGAGAAAGACAGACAUCUUUGUCACUUCAGUUUUCUUCAGAUUAAACAUCCCCCAAGAGUCCAUUUUGCAUCUAGUUAUUUUCCCCUGUAGCUGUGCUAAACAUGAUAAAAAUGUCCACAAUCUCAAUAUUAACAAUUUAGAUUAGUAAUUACUUGUUUGCUCCAAACCAACUUUAAAUUUUGCAGCAGAUUUUAAUUAUCAGUUUGCUAAAUGCAAAAGUAGUACAAAAUACCUAUUUAAAUAAAUCUGUCUCCGGUGAUUUUCUGGCCUGGUUUGCAUAAUACCUCAUGAUAAAUAUUACAAUAAAGUGUCUUCUGGCAGAUAAUAAGAUGGCGCCACAGACACUUACAGAAGUGAGGGGAUGUUGGAGUUUUUUCCUGCUUCGUUGCCAUUACCCUCUGGCAAAGAAAAUGGGGUAAAAUGUUUGUCAGCUGAUUGUUUUAGCAGUCACAUAAAUUGUUCCUUUGAUGUCCAAGGUCAAUGAAAUCUUAGUACCACCAGCCUUUGCUAGAAGAUACAUUAAAAGUCUCUGAUCUUUCCUGCAAGGGAAACAGUGGUAAAACUUAUUACUCUGUCACAGUGAAGGAAUGCUUGUAAAAAAGUUCAGUAAUGUAGGGGAUGGCUUUUCUUUACUAUCCUUCUUGAAAGGGGGCAUCUCUCUCAAUCUCAUUUUCCUUGUAUGCAUGAAGUGGGAGAGAAUCGCAACAGAUGUAAUGGAGUAGAAACUGGAACUUGAUAUCCAUGUGAAUGUCACAUGCUCUGUCAUAAGGCUGAAUGUAACUUGAGAAGACAUCAGGUCCAGUAUUCCACAGCAUAGUAUAAAAAGUCACACCACAGUAGUAUUCUGUGACUACCAGCACAGCUUCCUUGAAAAUAUAUUUUAAUUGGAAAGAAGAGCAACAACAAAACAUUCUUCCCCUGUUCAGAAAAUAGCAACUAGUAGGUUGAAUGCCUGAAUGAAGUAGCCAGGAUGCUUCCUCAUUGAAGGAGUAAUCCUAACUUGACACAGCCUACACAUACCUCACCCACCCACUGGCAAAGCUACUAGCUCCUUUUGCAAGAGCAUGGCAUGUAGUCCAUGUAAGGAUUUGUUUGUGAUCCACAUCAAAGUACUGGUCUGUUCUAUCUUUGGUUUCAGACAUGAAGUAAGAGUUAGGUUUUCAUAGGCGUCUGUGCAUUUAGAAAAGAAUCUUUUUUGCUUUAGGGCUCGACUCCUGUUCCUGCUGAACUGAGCCAGUAUAUAAAAUCAGAACUGAUAUCAGCUCAGUAGGCACCGGAGGACGGGUCCAUCGACAGCCAGGAACAGUAUCUGCUGCAAAGGGACAGUUCCAAUAAGAAACAGCCAUUUAAUAUCAAUAAUAUACACACUGGACUUUGCACCCAUCGGGGCUGCUUUAAGAACGGCACAUUCUUUUAUAAAAUACAAUACUUUUUAGCAUUAGGCUCUUCCACAGUUAUUGAUUACUUCUAUACUGUAGCCAAGCAAGGGUGUUUUCUCACGUGGAUUCUUUGCAUUCUUGGCAGGAGGAAGCGUACAGGGUUUGCAUCUUUCCCACGGCUUCUUCGCCUGUUACAAUCUGCAACCUAGAUUCCAGGCAAACAUGUGCUAUGAUACUACUACAGCAGCAGUCAACAUUUUAAGAGAGUUUUCCAUCUCACCUUCUCUUCAGGUGCAGAACUUAGCCACUGUGAACAAAGAGGAAAUCAGUCACUGUUCACCAAUCAGCUAAGCUCUGCACCUCGCUAGAGAGGUCUUCAUCUGAACAUAGUUACAAUAGCAGCUGAAGUCCUUCAGUGACUUGUCUGUACAUUUUUAGGAGAAGUAGAUUCAGGGGUUCCAACAGUAUGGAUAGGAGAUUGCCAUACCUACAUGCAGUUACAGAUGCCAAUGUCAUGGUUAUGUGGUAAUCCCUGGCAAUGUGAUUUUAAUCUUAAGUCACAAAUCAGCAUGCCAGGAACCCAAACAACCAAAACGAAGGAAAUGUGGGUGGCUUUUCUCUUUUCCAUCAAGAUAACUUGAAAAAGCUAAUCUUUUCACUCAUUUCGUUUACAUGCUAGAAUAUUCGUUGGCUCACCAUUUGGGCUACUCAAAACAAAUCAUACUUAUCAGCUCUAUAAAACAGUAUAAAAAAGUUCAUAAAACAGUAUGAAGAGUAUUCUAUUGCCAACAGAGUUAAGUGUUCUUAAUAUAAAUUGUUAUUUUUAAUUAAAAAAAAUUAGGGUGGUGGAUUGAAUGAAUUGCUCACACAGUAGAAGAAUAACCCAUUUGAAAUUUGAAUUUCUGACUCUGUUCUAAAUAAAUUAAGGUGAAACUGAACACGUUAUCAAAUCACAUUUUGCUAGUUCCUUAUAGUCUACAUUAACCAGAAGCCAAGCUUGAAUAUAUGUUUGUAAGCAAAGCCCACCAGUUUAUUUGGUAUAUCUUUGUCCCCCCACAUAUGAAGAACAAGAUUUUCCAUAUUCAACAUCAUAACCAGAGCAGCCCUUUCUACA